AGGUUACUGCUAUCGGUGUUCGCCUAAGCCAUGCGAGUCAUAUGUUCUUCGUGAACAGGGCGUACUGCUCUGUAACACGUGGAUAACCUGCCCUUGGGUCCGGCAUAACCCCGGGAAACUGGGGAUAAUUCCGGAUAACGCACAUAUGCUGGAAUGCUUUAUGCGUCAAAUGGAUUCGUCCGCCCAAGGAUGGGUCUGCGGCCUAUCAGGUAGUAGUGGGUGUAAUGUACCUACUAGCCUACGACGGGUACGGGUUGUGAGAGCAAGAGCCCGGAGAUGGAUUCUGAGACAUGAAUCCAGGCCCUACGGGGCGCAGCAGGCGCGAAAACUUUACAAUGCGGGAAACCGUGAUAAGGGGACACCGAGUGCCAGCAUUAUAUGUUGGCUGUCCGGGUGUGUAAAAUACACCUGUUAGCAAGGGCCGGGCAAGACCGGUGCCAGCCGCCGCGGUAACACCGGCGGCCCGAGUGGUGAUCGUGAUUAUUGGGUCUAAAGGGUCCGUAGCCGGUUUGGUCAGUCCUCCGGGAAAUCUGACGGCUUAACCGUUAGGCUUUCGGGGGAUACUGCCAGACUUGGAACCGGGAGAGGUAAGAGGUACUACAGGGGUAGGAGUGAAAUCUUGUAAUCCCUGUGGGACCACCUGUGGCGAAGGCGUCUUACCAGAACGGGUUCGACGGUGAGGGACGAAAGCUGGGGGCACGAACCGGAUUAGAUACCCGGGUAGUCCCAGCCGUAAACGAUGCUCGCUAGGUGUCAGGCAUGGCGCGACCGUGUCUGGUGCCGCAGGGAAGCCGUGAAGCGAGCCACCUGGGAAGUACGGCCGCAAGGCUGAAACUUAA
This 839-nucleotide ribosomal RNA is filed under the name uncultured archaeon. RNAcentral describes it as "bacterial SSU rRNA". It matches the Rfam family "Archaeal small subunit ribosomal RNA", at positions 21 to 859 of the family's 1478-position model. The record is from RNAcentral.